Molecule: ribosomal RNA, 702 nt
Filed under: Plasmopara viticola
Lineage: Eukaryota; Oomycota; Peronosporomycetes; Peronosporales; Peronosporaceae
Description: partial large subunit ribosomal RNA
Rfam family: Eukaryotic large subunit ribosomal RNA
Source: RNAcentral
GGGAUGAGCUCAAGCUUAAAAUCUCCGUGCAAUUUUUGCGCGGCGAAUUGUAGUCUAUAGAAGCGUGGUCAGUAUGGGCACUUGGGUUAAGUUCCUUGGAAGAGGACAGCAUGGAGGGUGAUACUCCCGUUCAUUCCUAAGUUGCUUGUGCGUACGACCCGUUUUCUUUGAGUCGCGUUGUUUGAGAAUGCAGCGCAAAGUAGGUGGUAAAUUCCAUCUAAAGCUAAAUAUUGGUGCGAGACCGAUAGCAUACAAGUACCGUGAGGGAAAGAUGAAAAGAACUUUGAAAAUAGAGUUAAAGAGUACCUGAAACUGCUGAAAGGUAACCAAAUCGUUUCCAGUGUCUAUAAUCCGUGGUAUAUUUCAUUGGCGAGCGUAUGCGUGCGUGUGCUGUUGCAGUGGCCUUUUGGCUGCGCUCGGCGUGUGUGCUGUGUGUGCUUGCUGGUGCCCUGUGCUAUGGUGGGACGUCAAGGUCAGUUCGUAUGCUGCGGGAAAUGGCCACUGAGGAGGUAGGGCUUACGCUUGCGUUUGUCUGUUAUAUCUUGGUGGACGAGUAGUCGCGGUUGGGACUGAGGUGCCUACAACGUGCUUUUGAGUGGAUUUGGAUCUCCGUGUGCGCCGUGUGCGGAUAGCUUGCUAUGCGUGUGUGGUUGUGUAUGGAUUGAUGCGAGUCGUAACUUGUAGCCGUUCGGGACGUUGACG